RNAcentral lists this ribosomal RNA (253 nucleotides) under uncultured bacterium. RNAcentral describes it as "partial 16S ribosomal RNA". It matches the Rfam family "Bacterial small subunit ribosomal RNA", at positions 524 to 776 of the family's 1533-position model. The record is from RNAcentral.
UACGUAGGGAGCAAGCGUUGUCCGGAAUCAUUGGGCGUAAAGCGCGCGUAGGCGGCCCUGUAAGUCCGUUGUGAAAGUCAAAGGCUCAACCUUUGAAAGCCGAUGGAUACUGCAGGGCUAGAGUCCGGAAGAGGCGAGUGGAAUUCCUGGUGUAGCGGUGGAAUGCGCAGAUAUCAGGAGGAACACCAAUGGCGAAGGCAGCUCGCUGGGACGGUACUGACGCUGAGGCGCGAAAGCGUGGGGAGCGAACAGG